CCCUGUUGCAGCUCCAACGCUGAUCAUCCACUCAGUCUGCUGGGUUUCCCUGAGUGGUCCUCAGGCGUGGAAUACAAAAGAAGCUGGAAGCGACUGCUUGGGCAUGCGUGCGGUGGGCUUGGUACAACAGCUUGGGCAUGCGUGUUGUGGGCUUGGUCCUGGAGUAGACUCGCCUUAGAGACACUUAGCUCCUUCCACCAAAGAAAAAGAAGCUCGUGACUGAACUAAUCAUCCUCAAGGAUUGUACAAAUGGCGCACCAAUUUUACGGAAAAACUGCCUUGGUGUGAGAGCUCCUUGUGGCUCAGCUCAGGACCAAAUGGCUUAUUACUUGUGAUCAUCUUAAGACGCUGCAGCUUUAAAGCAAGACGGAGGAACCCUCCAUUUUCAGCAGCACUAGGCCACAUUCGGCAGCGGGCCGGUGGCUCCCGCUCGCCUCUCCGCGGAGAAGGCUCUGGAGGACUCUGUUCCGCGCCGGGCAGCCCAGGAACCAGGUCCCCAGCGGCCAGCACAGCCCUGUUGCCAAGGGAACCGCCACGCGCCGCUGAGCUGGCCCACUAGCGGGAACGUGAGGGGAUAGGCCCGGGCAGGCCAGACAUGGAGCUGCCGGACCCUGUUCGUCAGCGCUUGAGCAACCUCAGCCUCACCAUGUUCGGCGACUCCAGCCGUACCGGGCCAGAGUCCAGUGAGGCCGCGGGUGAGUGGCAAGGGGCCCCACGCGGAGGUGUGGUUCGCGGGCGGGCGGCCGCA
Molecule: long non-coding RNA, 748 nt
Filed under: Rattus norvegicus (Norway rat)
Lineage: Eukaryota; Metazoa; Chordata; Mammalia; Rodentia; Muridae
Description: long non-coding RNA NONRATT009621
Source: RNAcentral